Molecule: unclassified non-coding RNA, 1103 nt
Filed under: Yoania squamipes
Lineage: Eukaryota; Viridiplantae; Streptophyta; Magnoliopsida; Asparagales; Orchidaceae
Description: partial external transcribed spacer
Source: RNAcentral
GUUGCGGGCUGCUAUACGACGGGGGCUGGUUGCGGGGUUCAUCGGAGCAACUGGCACGGCGGGUUGCGGKUUCAGCAGAGCUACUGGCACGAUGGGUUGCGGGUUGCGGUACGAUGUGGGCUGGCUACUGGCACGACGGGUUGCGGGCUGCGGUACGAUGGUGGCUGGGUGCGGUGCAAUUUCGACGCGUGCGGUUGAUUUAUAUAUAAAAAUCAAGACGCGCGCGCGCCGCGCCAAGCGCCCAAGUGCCGAAGUGCCUAAGUGCCCAAGUGCCACGUGCGCGCGUGCGUUUCAUUUAAUGACCUAACUAUUGCCUUAAUGUUUGCAUUUCAUUGAAAAAUGAAUUUGUGCUUGUUUGUAAUCAAGGCUACAUGUGUUUAUUUGUCACUUCACAUGUUAUCAUGAUAUUAAAACUUGCAUGUUUGCCUUUAGACUACAUAUUUGUGCUUGUUUGAUGUUAGGCAUCUCACCAGUGCAUUUGAUAUAAAUUUUUCGUGCCUUGUAGGUUCUUGCCUUUCUCAUUGUGACCAAGACUCAUUGCUUCGCAAUAUUUCAGAGUUUGCUUAUUCUUUGUUAUUAGUCGAUGUUAUGGACUGGUUGGUGUGGCUAGGCUGGAGACUAUUUGUGGCACCUGAGUUGUAUUGAACUCUAUUUUUAUUGAUAGGUGGUUAUUUUGUGCAGUUAACUAUCACUAUACGAGUUCUAUCAUUCCAUGACUUGAUCUUGUUUAGAUCAAAUUGAGGUUUUUAAGAGUUUGCAAUUUAAAUUCAGGAUAUGAUAUUAAUUCUCGACGAUGUUUCAUAAUUAGUCAUUGUCUAUAUUUUUUAGACAAUGAGAGUGCUUUUUUUGAAUGCAAUCCUUUACUAAUUGUUUCAAGAAUUGUCUCGUUACAUUCUUGUUUCAUAAGCAGGUAAUAUGAGGAUCUCAUCAUAUUGUUGUAAAUGCGGCUCCUUUCAAAAUGGGUCUUGGUGUUAUUGGCACCUUGCAAGAAGCAAUUAAUUGAAAGAUGACAUUGCCUUGUCUUCUGUGCGACUUUGGUUUUUUCCCUCCCUUCCAUGUAGAUGGUUGUUGUGGAUGAGAUCAUAGUUGUGUUGAGGCCGUGC